GGGAACCGUUUGGAGCCAGACUGGCUUGUCUGUAAUCAGUCUAAGCUUCGGCUUGGAUGCACUUGCGGGCUAUGCCUGCCAACGACAAUUUGGCUUGAGGGAAAAAACUAGGGGAAAUGUGGCCCAUCCGUGGGUGUUAUAGUCCCUUAGAAAAUACCUUGGGCUGGAUUGAGGAACGCAGCGAAUGCUAUUUGGCGAGUUGGCUGGGAGAAUUUUCUGAGGUGCUCCGGCACUGAGGUUGAUCCUUUCAGUUAUACUUCUAUUCGCUUAGGUUGUUGGCUUAAUGACUCUAAAUGACCCGU
RNAcentral lists this ribosomal RNA (302 nucleotides) under Rhizopus homothallicus. RNAcentral's name for it is "partial large subunit ribosomal RNA". Lineage: Eukaryota; Fungi; Mucoromycota; Mucoromycetes; Mucorales; Rhizopodaceae. The record is from RNAcentral.